Molecule: small nuclear RNA, 83 nt
Filed under: Colobus angolensis palliatus
Lineage: Eukaryota; Metazoa; Chordata; Mammalia; Primates; Cercopithecidae
Description: U4 spliceosomal RNA (ENSCANG00000017230.1)
Rfam family: U4 spliceosomal RNA
About the family: U4 small nuclear RNA (U4 snRNA) is a component of the major U2-dependent spliceosome. The structure of U4 snRNA from yeast and human has been reported. U4 snRNA presents a k-turn RNA motif in the 5p-SL related to recognition of Snu13 protein.
Source: RNAcentral
AGCUUUGCACAGUGGCAGUAUUGUAGCCAAUGAGGGCUAUUCGAGGUGCGAUUAUUGCUAAUUGAAAACACAUUAAAAGGAAC